CGACUAUUGGGGGAAAUGCACGAAAGUCACAGUUACCUCAGCAUUAGCCAGACUGCUAACCGUGACACCGGUGGCUCCUACGACUACCGGGGGAAAGGCACACAAGUCACAGUUACCUCAGGUGUUAAAGAAGCUCCAACUGCCGUUGUGACAGCAAAACUCGAGCCGCCUAAACGUGUUAAAGAAGCUCCAACUGCCGUUGUGACAGCAAAACUCGAGCCGCCUAAACUCGUAAUCAAGUCCGCCGCUCUUUAUCUAAUGAUCCCGACUGAGGACCAGCUAAAGCACAACAAGACCGCUUCCUUUGCCUGCUUUGCCAGCGAAUUUUUUCCCAAGGAACUCACUUUUACAUGGAGCAAGAAUGGCAAGGUGUUGACUGGUGACAUCACAACCCUGCCCGUGGUGGAAAUUAGCGGAAACUACAGCGUCUCCAGCUUUCUGCAUCUUUCUGAAAAUCAGUGGAAAUCUGGAGACAACGUCUCCUGUGCAAUUAAACACCCAGGCGGAGACUUCGUAAGGACGGCCAUUUACAAAAAUCCCUCUAGCGAUUGUGGAGGAAUUCCCGUUCAGGUGACAAUCCCCGAACCAUCCACCACGGAGCUGUUCCUGCAUGGCCGGGUGGAGCUGAAAUGCCAAAUCACCGGGGAAUUGGGAGUCGUCAGCGAUGUUGAGUGGCGAAAUGGAGAUGGCACGGUCCUCGUGUCCGACAGCAAAGUUGUGGGAAAUUCCCGAAUCGUAACGCUCCUGGCCAAGAAAGACGACUGGGCCAAUGGAACAAAGUACACAUGCAUAGUGAUGCACGAUUGUUCCGGACCUCCAAUUUCCACGCCCUACAGUCGAGAUAUCGGACGUGAGAUGCAGCGCCCCACCGUGUUUAUAAUGAUCCCAACCGAAAGGGCUAGCACCAGAAAAGUGACCCUGGUCUGCUACGCUAAAGGAUUCUACCCCAAGGAGGUGCUAUUCUCUUGGUUUGCCGACGACGUGUCCAUGGAUAGACCAAAGUUCCAGACCAGCAAGGCGGUUGAAAUGGAUAGUCUAUACUCUGCGUACAGCCAGCUGUCUGUCAGCAUUGAGGACUGGGAGAAGGGCACCGUGUACGGCUGUGCGGUACACCAUGAGUCUGUGUCCAACAACGAAAACAGAGCAGUAGUCAGGACCAUUGACAGCAUCUCCCAGAAGGCCUCCACCGUUAGCUUUGAUAUGUGUCGUUCUGGCAACAGCCCGGCUUGACAACGCACGCUCCCGUUCCUGUACCUGUCCUUCCUUUGUGCCUGGUUCAGUCUGACUGCAGUGUCUGUCUGUCUGUCUGAGUGUGCCUCUCUAUCUUUAAAGUUUUUAAAAAUGCAGAAACAAAAUGACAAUAAAAAUAAAUGAAUAAAAAAGAGGCAUGUCUG
Conger conger (European conger) is the source of this 1394-nucleotide non-coding RNA. Lineage: Eukaryota; Metazoa; Chordata; Actinopteri; Anguilliformes; Congridae. The record is from the annotation of a RefSeq genome assembly.